Non-coding RNA from Xenopus tropicalis (tropical clawed frog), 164 nucleotides. NCBI's taxonomy places the organism in Eukaryota, Metazoa, Chordata, Amphibia, Anura, Pipidae. The record is from Rfam.
AUACUUACCUGGCAGGGGAGAUACCAUGAUCACGAAGGUGGUUCUCCCAGGGCGAGGCUCAUCCAUUGCACUCUGGCCGUGCUGACCCCUGCGAUUUCCCCAAAUGCGGGAAAGUCGACUGCAUAAUUUCUGGUAGUGGGGGACUGCGUUCGCGCUUUCCCCUG